CCAUUCUUCCUUACUUCCCAUAUCUGCCGCCGAUGCUGUAUGGAAUGUAAAGAAGUAUGGAG
RNAcentral lists this microRNA precursor (62 nucleotides) under Centruroides sculpturatus (bark scorpion). RNAcentral describes it as "Csc-Mir-1-P18b_pre stem-loop". Lineage: Eukaryota; Metazoa; Arthropoda; Arachnida; Scorpiones; Buthidae. The record is from RNAcentral.